RNAcentral lists this ribosomal RNA (368 nucleotides) under uncultured alga. Its description in RNAcentral is "partial 23S ribosomal RNA". It matches the Rfam family "Bacterial large subunit ribosomal RNA", at positions 2098 to 2465 of the family's 2925-position model. The record is from RNAcentral.
GCUUGACUGUAGCUUGUAAUUGGGUUCGGGCUUUUUUUGCGCAGCCUAGGUGGGAGGCAAUGAUGAUUUUUUUCCGGAAAAAUUUGAGCCAUUCGUGAGAGACCACUCUGAAAAGGCUAGAAUCCUAAUAAUGAUCCUUGAAUCAGGACAUUUGACAGUUGCAGGUGGGCAGUUUUACUGGGGCGGUAUUCUCCUAAAAAGUAACGGAGGGGUGCAAAGGUUCCCUCAGGCUGGACGGAAAUCAGCUUAAGAGUGUAAAGGCAAAAGGGAGCUUGACUGCAAGACCUACAAGUCGAGCAGGGCGAAAGCCGGCCUUAGUGAUCCGACGGUACCGCGUGGAAGGGCCGUCGCUCAACGGAUAAAAGUUA